Molecule: ribosomal RNA, 372 nt
Filed under: uncultured organism
Description: partial 16S ribosomal RNA
Rfam family: Bacterial small subunit ribosomal RNA
Source: RNAcentral
GUAGGUGGCAAGCGUUGUCCGGAAUUAUUGGGCGUAAAGCGCGCGCAGGCGGUCCUUUAAGUCUGAUGUGAAAGCCCACGGCUCAACCGUGGAGGGUCAUUGGAAACUGGGGGACUUGAGUACAGAAGAGGAAAGCGGAAUUCCACGUGUAGCGGUGAAAUGCGUAGAGAUGUGGAGGAACACCAGUGGCGAAGGCGGCUUUCUGGUCUGUAACUGACGCUGAGGCGCGAAAGCGUGGGGAGCAAACAGGGAUUAGAUACCCUGGUAGACCACGCCGUAAACGAUGAGUGCUAAGUGUUAGAGGGUUUCCGCCCUUUAGUGCUGAAGUUAACGCAUUAAGCACUCCGCCUGGGGAGUACGGUCGCAAGACUG